AUUCUUAUAGUUUAUAUGAAAAUAUGGCCUUGAAAAUGCCAAGAAAAUUUAUUUUAAGGGUA
This 62-nucleotide transfer RNA is filed under the name Macrocheles glaber. RNAcentral's name for it is "tRNA-Phe". The record is from RNAcentral. Lineage: Eukaryota; Metazoa; Arthropoda; Arachnida; Mesostigmata; Macrochelidae.